This 495-nucleotide ribosomal RNA is filed under the name uncultured bacterium. Its description in RNAcentral is "partial 16S ribosomal RNA". It matches the Rfam family "Bacterial small subunit ribosomal RNA", at positions 28 to 507 of the family's 1533-position model. The record is from RNAcentral.
GACGAACGCUGGCGGCGUGCCUAAUACAUGCAAGUAGAACGCUGAAGGAGGAGCUUGCUUCUCUGGAUGAGUUGCGAACGGGUGAGUAACGCGUAGGUAACCUGCCUGGUAGCGGGGGAUAACUAUUGGAAACGAUAGCUAAUACCGCAUAAUAUUGACUAUUGCAUGAUAGUCAGUUGAAAGGUGCAACUGCACCACUACCAGAUGGACCUGCGUUGUAUUAGCUAGUUGGUGGGGUAACGGCUCAUCAAGGCGACGAUACAUAGCCGACCUGAGAGGGUGAUCGGCCACACUGGGACUGAGACACGGCCCAGACUCCUACGGGAGGCAGCAGUAGGGAAUCUUCGGCAAUGGACGGAAGUCUGACCGAGCAACGCCGCGUGAGUGAAGAAGGGUUUCGGAUCGGAAAGCUCUGUUGUAAGAGAAGAACGAGUGUGAGAGUGGAAAGCUCACACUGUGACGGUAUCUUACCAGAAAGGGACGGCUAACUACGUG